This 3049-nucleotide ribosomal RNA is filed under the name bioreactor sludge metagenome. Its description in RNAcentral is "eukaryotic LSU rRNA". The stretch from base 312 to 2650 matches the Rfam family "Eukaryotic large subunit ribosomal RNA". The record is from RNAcentral.
UAAAUUUUCAACGAUGGAUAUCUAGGCUCCAAUAACGAUGAAGAACGCAGCGAAGUGCGAUAAGCAAUGCGAAUUGCAGAACCGCGAGUCAUCAGAUUUUUGAACGCAAGUGGCGGCUGCCUCGGCAGUCAUGUUUGUUUCAGUGUGUCCGGUUAAUUACAUCAAAGAAUAUAAUGUGAUUGAAGAAAUUCUCUCACAAAAUAUGGAAUAGUGUCAAUGAAGACUCCAAACGAAAUAGUCACUAAAUGGUGAUAGUCGUUUGAGGAUCGGAAUUGGUGAAUCAUUAUUCAAAAACAAAUUAUCCAAAUAUGGCACCUGAAAUAAGCAAGAGUACCCGCUGAACUUAAGCAUAUCAGUAAGCGGAGGAAAAGAAAAUAACAAUGAUUACCUUAGUAGCGGCGAGUGAAUAGGUAAAAGCCCAAGAUGUUAAUCUGCUAUAAAGUAGUAGAAUUGUAAUCUAUGGAGUAGCUCGGAAGGUUGAGACUCAUCAUAAGUGCCUUGGAAAAGGACGCCAGAGAAGGUGAAAGCCCUGUCUUAGGAUGAGUCGAGGCGAUACGAGAUAUUUCUAAGAGUCGGGUAGUUUGGGAAUGCUGCCCUAAUUGGGAGGUAAACUUCUCCUAAGGCUAAAUAUUUAUUGGAGACCGAUAGCAUACAAGUACUGCGAAGGAAAGAUGAAAAGAACUUUGAAAAGAGGGUUAAAAGACUUGAAAUCGUUGAAAAGGAAGCGAUAGAAGAGAAAUGAUUCCCUGUCAAGUAGUCAAUUGAGCUAAGUUACGCGGUGGAGAAUAUCUAACAGAGUUCUUGCCGUGGAAUGAAAAUCAAGUGGCAGUUGGCAGGAGAAAGGCAAGAUGAGGUGGGGUUGCAAGAAUAAGGUGAAGAGUGUAUUCUCAAACCAAAAGUUGCAAUCCUGCCUGAGGGAUCAGAUGAUGAUCUUGCCAAAAUGGCUUUUAUCGACCCGUCUUGAAACACGGACCAAGGAGUCUACCUAUUAUGCGAGUGUUAAGGUGGAGAAACCUAAACGCGUACCGAAAGGGAUGUAAGAUGUGAGGCGCAAGCUGCAACAUCAACCAAUCUUGACUCUAUGAGGAAGGACUUGAGUAAGAGCAUAAUCGGUAGGACCCGAAAGAUGGUGAACUACGGUUGAAUAGGGUGAAGCCAGGGGAAACUCUGGUGGAGGCUCGAAGCGGUACUGACGUGCAAAUCGUUCGUCAAAUUUGACUGUAGGGGCGAAAGACUAAUCGAACCAUCUAGUAGCUGGUUCCCUCUGAAAUUUCUCUCAGGAUAGCAGGAACAGAUCAUGCAGUUUUAUCAGGUAAAGCUAAUGAUUAGUGGACUCGGGGGCCCCGUGCCCUUGACCAAUUCUCAAACUUUAAAUUGGUAAGAACUUCGAGUUAUCUUAAUUGAACUCGGAGAAGGAAUGCGUUGUUCUUAGUGGGCCAUUUUUGGUAAGCAGAACUGGCGAUGAGGGAUGAACCUAACGUCGAGCUAAGGUGCCCAAAUUCACGCUCAUCAGACACCAUAAAAGGUGUUGGUUAGUAUAAACAGCCGGACUGUGGCCAUGGAAGUCGGCACCAGCUAAGGAGUGUGUAACAACUCACCAGCCGAAUUAACCAGCCCUGAAAAUUGAUGGCGCUAAGCGUGAUACCGAUACUCGACCAACAGGGCAAAUAGAAGCCUUGUUGAGUAAGAGGGCGUGAACAUUGUGUAGAAGGCUUGGACGUGAGUCUGGCUGGAACAAUGUUUAGUGCAGAUCUUGGUGGUAGUAGCAAAUAUUCAAAUGAGAACUUUGAAGACCGAAGUGGAGAAGGGUUCCAUGAGAACAGCAUUUGAUCAUGGGUUACUCGAUCCUAAGACAUAGGGAAAUUCCUUGUAAUAUAUGGGUUCUUACGAAUCCGUUGUCAAAAGGGAAUGAGGUUGAUAUUCCUCAAGCUGAAUACGGAGGUUUCGUGGCAACACAAACAAGCUUGGAGACAUCGGCGUGUGCAACUGGAAGAGUUCUCUUUUCUUCUUAACAAUCUAUCUCCCUGAAUGGAUUAUCCAAAGCUAGGGAUGUACGGUUGGCAGAGCAGUUCACCAUCGAACUGUCAGUGAUGCUCAUGACGAUCCUUGAAAAUCCAAGUACGGUGAUCCUUUCGUAUCAGGUCGUACCCAUAACCGCAUCAGGUCUCCAAGGUUAGCAGCCUCUGGUCGAUAGAAUAACGUAGAUAAGGGAAUUCGGCAAAUUAGAUCCGUAACUUCGGGAAAAGGAUUGGCUCUGAGGAUUGGGUGUUUAGACCCCUACUUGGACAGUGGAAUUGAGCUAGGACUUGCCGCAAGGCAGGACCUAGUUUUGUGAAGCUAGAAUUGUAGGGAGUUCUUGCACAAGUAACAAUCGACUCGGAACUGAAGCGGACAAGGAGAAUCCGACUGUUUAAUAAAAACAUAGCGUUGUGAUGGCGUGAAAACGUGUUGACACAACGUGAUUUCUGCCCAGUGCUUUGAAUGUGAAUAUGAAGUAAUUUGUAGAAGCUCAGGUAAACGGCGGGAGUAACUAUGACUCUCUUUAAGUUUAAAAUUAAAUUUAUGCCUUCAAGUAUUGGGAAACCUUAAUCAUGUACAAAAAAUGAUUGUUAAAAAGCUUAUCAAUCUUUUAAAAAAGAUUGUUAAUCGUCAUAUAAGGGUGCAUAUUAACAAUGUUGGACCAAACAAUUGAAAAAUAUGACAAACAAACAAUAUAAGAUUGCUUACAAAGGCAAAGAUGAUAAAACUCAUUACUUUAAACCAAGAGUUCAUCGAAUGUGGUUUUACCAUUAUACCUAGUAAGAAGACAAUCUUAUUGACAAAGUUUAGGAUCACAAAAAUUACACUGCUUCUCACCUCUGUCACGACAACUAGUGUUAUAAUCCUAAACACAUUUGUUUGGAGCACCUGAUGAUUAACCAAUCUAGAAACUAUUGCCAAGGCCCAACUUUUUGUUUACAUAAACCUAAAUGUUUGGUUUAAGGAAAUUCCUUUAAAGAGAUUUCCUUAAACAAAAUGCAAACUUUUGGAUGGAAAGAUACAAAAAUGG